GAUCCUGGCUCAGAUUGAACGCUGGCGGCAGGCUUAACACAUGCAAGUCGAGCGGGGAAGAGUAGCUUGCUACUUAACCUAGCGGCGGACGGGUGAGUAAUGCUUAGGAAUCUGCCUAUUAGUGGGGGACAACAUCUCGAAAGGGAUGCUAAUACCGCAUACGUCCUACGGGAGAAAGCAGGGGACCUUCGGGCCUUGCGCUAAUAGAUGAGCCUAAGUCGGAUUAGCUAGUUGGUGGGGUAAAGGCCU
RNAcentral lists this ribosomal RNA (249 nucleotides) under uncultured bacterium. RNAcentral describes it as "partial 16S ribosomal RNA". It matches the Rfam family "Bacterial small subunit ribosomal RNA", at positions 15 to 266 of the family's 1533-position model. The record is from RNAcentral.